Molecule: long non-coding RNA, 373 nt
Filed under: Brassica napus (rape)
Lineage: Eukaryota; Viridiplantae; Streptophyta; Magnoliopsida; Brassicales; Brassicaceae
Description: long non-coding RNA (BNAP_LNC015191)
Source: RNAcentral
UUGAUUCUCACUUUUUCUCCUUCAAAGCAACCACUUGUGCAGUAACAAUCCAAGCUUGGUCAUGGAACCAAAUAUAAACUGACCGGUGAAAAGACUGUUUUUAGAAAGAAAAAAGAAGAAGCUAACCAGUAACCACCCAUAGUUUUCUUAGAUCCACCAAUUGAUGACCCUUGAACACGAAUAUGCCUGCGCAUAUCUCCACUUCGCGGUAAUAAUAUGUGAUUCUCAAGAAAUCUGGAUCCAUAUUUUUCAAUCAGAAUCUAACAAAAAUGAAGAUACAUCACAUAAAUUCACUUAGCCCACAUACAUAAAAGACAUCUAAAAAAAAUAAGAUGAAACUGAUUGAAGGACAUAACGUUUGGAUAUACUCACU